GGCCAGGUGGUGGAACAGGCAGACACGCGGUCCUCAGAAGGCCGUGCCCACCGGGCAUGAGGGUUCAACUCCCUCCCUGGUCA
Molecule: transfer RNA, 83 nt
Filed under: Planctomycetota bacterium
Lineage: Bacteria; Pseudomonadati; Planctomycetota
Description: Planctomycetes bacterium (rhizosphere metagenome) tRNA-Leu
Rfam family: tRNA
About the family: Transfer RNA (tRNA) molecules are approximately 80 nucleotides in length. Their secondary structure includes four short double-helical elements and three loops (D, anti-codon, and T loops).
Source: RNAcentral